Molecule: long non-coding RNA, 687 nt
Organism: Lepisosteus oculatus (spotted gar)
Lineage: Eukaryota; Metazoa; Chordata; Actinopteri; Semionotiformes; Lepisosteidae
Source: RefSeq, a predicted model, not a curated record
GGCGGCCACGCAAAGCCCACCCGACCACACAGCACGAUCUUAAACUGGCUGUUGUCAAAGAUGGACUCACAGGUUUGCACGUGCCAGGUUGAAAAAGGGAGCUGUUCCUUGCAGUACUUUGAAUUGGGAAAAGAGGAAAUUUAAAAGGAUCCCCUUAGAGAGAAGUAAGCUGUGCCUGACAGGGGAAGAGUCUGUGCCCCAAGUGAGCAGAUCAUCCAUCAGCACGGAGAAAACACAGGUUUCUCUGGAAGUCCUCACUGAAAGGUGAUGUGUUCUGCUUGAACAAGAAAUGGUUAAUUCCCAGUCCGGGCAUUGGUCAGCCAGCAGAUGAUAUGAAGACAUUUUCUGUUCAAUAUCCCUUUUAAAGCUGAACUUGUGAACCUGGGAGGCUCAUUAUUGCCUCCGGUACCUGACCUCAUCUGUCUGCAGCUCUUUUCCUGAGCCAGGGGGUUGUCAAGUCACACAGCCUUACAGACCCAGAGAGUUAGUGCUUCUGUGAAUUGGGGAGUAAUGCAACACUACUCCAUACUUCACUACUUUUAUUUUGGAGGUUGUUUGUUUAACUGGCCUGCUGCUUGUUCAGAUAGACCAACUAUGUGACAAGUGACUACACAGUUUUCUCUCACUGUAAAUAGCCACUGUGGCUUUUCAAGUACUUUAAUAAAAUCUCUGCAAUCUCCCUUUCAA